This 84-nucleotide transfer RNA is filed under the name Lactobacillus nasalidis. RNAcentral describes it as "tRNA-Tyr". It matches the Rfam family "tRNA". Rfam says of the family: Transfer RNA (tRNA) molecules are approximately 80 nucleotides in length. Their secondary structure includes four short double-helical elements and three loops (D, anti-codon, and T loops). The record is from RNAcentral. Lineage: Bacteria; Bacillati; Bacillota; Bacilli; Lactobacillales; Lactobacillaceae.
UGGAGGAAUAGCGAAGUGGCUAAACGCGGCGGUCUGUAAAACCGCUCUCUCUGAGUUCGGUGGUUCGAAUCCACUUUCCUCCAU